Molecule: long non-coding RNA, 2136 nt
Organism: Esox lucius (northern pike)
Lineage: Eukaryota; Metazoa; Chordata; Actinopteri; Esociformes; Esocidae
Source: Ensembl
CAACUUUGUCCUUUAGCCGUCACUGAAAUUCCAGAUUUUCGUGACCCGGAAGUGUUUCUUUAAUGUUGCUCACAAGACGCAGAUGAAUGUGGUUCACUAUUUCAGUUCAAAUGGACACAUUCUAUUAAAGCACUUUACAAGAACACGUUGUUUUGGACGUACGGCAUGAGCUGAGGCCGAAGACUAACAAUAAAGAGACCAGGAUGUACAGUGGCCCUGGAGCUGAAGACUGAGAAAUUGCAGUGUCCAGAAAUCGAGACUCAUCAGACCAGGCAACAUUCUUCCAGUCUUCAACUGUCCAAUUUUGACCCUGGUUCCUGUGGCGGAAACGCAGCGAGUUCCUGAAAAGGUUCCUAGUUCCUGCGGUGGAAACGAGGCUUUUUUUGGAGUCCCUGAUAGAGGAUGUAGUAAAUGUUAUCGAUCAGCGAGGAGAGUUCGAUGAUGGAAGAUGAGGCCCCAUUGAGACCAACAGCAGCUUCGAGUCGGGAACCAGCACCGGUGGCAGCACCGACAUAGUCAACUUCCAGCGAACCACCUGGGAAUCUAUUUUCUUCACAAAAAUGUAGAACCUGUGGAAGAAACAGCAUUGGGAGCAUGAGCCUCUAACUGUCCUAAUGGAGAUGCAGGAAGCAGAUGUGGAGCAGCAGGAACUGAACUGGGCUCAGCGUGAGCAGCACCUACAGUGGGUCAUCGAAGAUGUGGCACAUGCAAGGGAGCUGGAAGCAAACUUGAGGAGGGAGGACAAUGCUCAAACGGCAGCCUUCAAUUAAGCCUUCCUUGCUACACUGAGCCAGCUUGUACAGGCAUUGAAUGGCCAGCCUUCCCCGAAUCCGCUGCCUCUGGACCAUACCCCCUGUGCCAAAUAUGAUAUUUUAUACUUUGCACUACUUUGUAUUUGCACUACAUUUUACCUAUGUAUAUAGUUUGCUGUGUUGCACUGUUUUUUCAUCUUAACACUUUCAUUUCUGUAUAUAUUUUGCUAUUUUAUUGGCACAUUUUGUUAAAUUAAGUGUUGUACCUUGUUACAAAUGUAUUUGACCAUGGUUUCCAAUUUCAAGGGCAUUUAAUUGAAUAAAGUUAAUACAGAACCUUAUAAAAUACACACAGUUUUAAAACAAUGCGGAAAGGUGGAACAACACGUGUCAAUACAAUUCAGAGUUCUAUUCUCGUAACAGGAAAGACAAAAAUUACUAUUUUAGCUAUUCAAGUAGCGCAUCAGCCCCUCUCGUACAUCCCUGCCCAACUCCUCCACGCCCUCUGUCAAUGUCACCAUAUGCUCUGCUGCUACAGCUGCAUCCCACACAUUGUCAUAUGUCUCUCCAUGACUCUUGCAUAGGUUACGCAGAGCACAGCAAGUCAGCACCAUAGAUUUGACCAGUUCGACAUCAGUAAUUUCUCUUCAUGAGGCAACACCACCUUGCCUUCAAUCUACUAAAAGCACUUUCAACCACUAUCCGUGCUCUGGAGAUUUUCCUGGUCUAGAUCUGCUGCCGUUCAGUGUCAGAGAAUGGUUUUAUGAGCCAGUUCUGUAAGGGAUAUGCAGAGUCUCCUGGGACGUAGUAGCCCACAUUUACCUCACAAAUAUUCCUGGUGUAUGCUGGAAAAUGGUUGCCACGGCUGGUCAACUCCCUCAAUGUGGACAGUCUAAAACCCAAACUUCAUAUGCAAGCUCUUUCCCUUUCCGUCUACAACACCAUGAAGGAUGAUGGAAUGCCAGCCUUUAUGUGUAAAAUAGUCACAAAAGUACUCCUGUGGUGCCGUGAUGGGUAUGUGUGAACCGUCAAUAGCACCAAUACACUGCGGGAGUCCCCACCUGUUCUCAGUGUAUGUGGCCAUUUUUUAUAUCAUCUCUGGGUCUGGAAAACUCAUUUGUUCUGGUACCAACAAUAACUCUGCAGCAGCUCAGAACUGUUGCACACACCGACACACAGUUGUUAUGCUUAUUCCAAAAAGACGUCUGAAAUUUCUGUACUAGGAGCCAUUCGCAUGUUUCCACAGCACAAUGGCUACCCUCUACUUUAGAGGUACACGCCUGCAAAGUUUUUUUUUUUAGCCUUUCGAUCACUGGAUGAAGUUUGUUGCCCAGACAGAUUACUGUUUCUUCGGACAUUCUGAAGUUCUGCACCCACUGUGUUA